CUUGAAUCGGAGUUGUAACGAAGAAGUUACGAUCAAAACACUUCCAGUGGCAAAACCGUAAUUAUUUCAAAAUUUGGGUUUAAAAUAUCUGACUUUUCUCUCUCUCUCUCUCUCUCUCUCUCUCUCUCUCUCUCUCUCUCUCCCUCUCCCGCGGCUGAACUCCCCCUCCCCGUUUUGAUUUUUCGCCAGAUUUCAGACGGCGAGAACUUCGCCGUCCGACCUCCGUUUGAGGCGCCGUUUCUUGCAAAAGCUUCAUCUCUUCCUCCUCUACCCAGCCCCCCCCUUUUCUCCGAUCGAAAACCCGGCAAACGGCGGUGGCAACGACGUGAAAACAGGCUGAAACUGCCGACGUCGCCGACGACGUUUCCGGCCAUCUCGAGCUGCGCCGUCACUUGGAACAGGUAGCUCUACUUCCCUUCUAGCCAUUUCUUAGGUUGUACGACGACCAUGUCGACGGUGGUUGCCGGAUCGAGGCCGUGAAGUUCCGGGUUAAAAUCGUGAGUUUCCGACGCCGAUUCCGACCACUUGCCGUCCGAAUUGGACCUUGGUGUAGUUGAAUAAUGUGUUCCACUCAUCGAGUAGAAUCUGUAGCCGGAAGGGUGAGCUCGGGUGUGGAGAUUUUUCCGUCGCCGGAAAUUUCUCUACACACCCACGCGCUGCCGGCGCGUGUGGCGGCGCGUGGGCGAGGCCGGUGAGGCUGCAAAUUAACCCGAAGAGAUCCUUAGGUUGUCACGAGCGCGUAGGAUUUCGCGGAUCUCAAUUCGGAUGUCGUUUGACUAUCGAACGGAUUUUCGCAUAUUGUGCGUUAUCCGGGUUCGAUAGGUUCCGACCGUUA
This 835-nucleotide long non-coding RNA is filed under the name Prunus dulcis (almond). RNAcentral describes it as "sRNA ncRNA". Lineage: Eukaryota; Viridiplantae; Streptophyta; Magnoliopsida; Rosales; Rosaceae. The record is from RNAcentral.